Molecule: ribosomal RNA, 253 nt
Filed under: uncultured bacterium
Lineage: Bacteria
Description: partial 16S ribosomal RNA
Rfam family: Bacterial small subunit ribosomal RNA
Source: RNAcentral
UACGAAGGGGGCUAGCGUUGUUCGGAUUUACUGGGCGUAAAGCGCAUGUAGGCGGACCAUUAAGUUGGGGGUGAAAUCCCGAGGCUCAACCUCGGAAUUGCCUCCAAAACUGUUGGUCUGGAGCAGAAGAGAGGCGAGUGGAAUUCCGAGUGUAGAGGUGAAAUUCGUAGAUAUUCGGAGGAACACCAGUGGCGAAGGCGACUCGCUGGCUUCUUGCUGACGCUGAGAUGCGAGAGCGUGGGGAGCAAACAGG